Suricata suricatta (meerkat) is the source of this 1444-nucleotide long non-coding RNA. RefSeq lists it as uncharacterized. The record is from RefSeq and is a predicted model, not a curated record. NCBI's taxonomy places the organism in Eukaryota, Metazoa, Chordata, Mammalia, Carnivora, Herpestidae. The transcript has 3 exons.
CCUGGCAUCUGUCACCAUUCCUCCGUCCCCCUCCAGAGGCGAGGCAUUGAGAACGAGGAUUCCACGCUUAAUGGCACCUUGAGAGUAAGGGCUCCCAGGUGCCCAUCAAACUUGUCACUUUGAACAGCUGUCGCUAAGUGAGGAUGGGCCCCACCACCCUCCGUCGCGUUUUGCAUGAACAGGCCUGCAGAGCGGUGCCCCUGAAGGCGUCCGGAGCCGGAUGCGUGCCGCCCCGGCCCAGGCACGGGGGGCCACCCUCACCUGGCUUUGCUGUGGCCGUUCCAGCAUUCCUCCUCGUUGGACGUGCCGGCCGUCAUGCUUUCAUCUUUGCAGAUGGUGUAGGGCAAUGCCGACCAGACCUUUUUAGAGAGCUUCAGUUUCUCUUUUAUGUCUGUGACCUGAUCAAGAAAGCAAGGAAAGAGAGUGAAUACUCUCCCCAGGCGUUGCCCAUUUCUACACAAGGACACGACACAGGUGAAGGUUAGAGAAUCUGUGAUCGGACUAGAAUGGAACUCUUUCAGUUCAAAGGGAGAGACACCAAGCAGCAGGAUUUACUGCCCAGGCCAGCCUCCCUACCUCCUCCCUCAAUCUUCCUCUGGCUUCUGGCAGAGAGUUCUCAGGUCCAUAUAGCACACUCUUGGAUGGGGAGUAGCAGCCCAAACAUGUGGGGAAAAUCUCUACACAGGAAGAAAAAAGUCAUUCCAAAAAAAGAAGCCAGGAAGUUAAAAUGAGGUUUUGAGGAUAACCCUAAUCCAUUAUGACUGAUAUUUUUGUAAAAAGGGAGACUUUGGACACAGAGAUAGGCAUAAAGGUAAGACAAUGCAGAGAGAAGUAGGAAGAAGACAUCUACCUACAACCAAUGAGAGGGACCUGGAAGAGAACCUUCCCUCACAGCCUCAGAAAAAUCCAGUCCUUCUGACAUCUUGGUUUCAGACUUCUCACCUUCAGAGCCAGGAGACAAUAAAUUACUGUUCUUUAAGCCACCGCGAGUGCACACCCACACAGCAUCGUCGAAGGGACAACACUGAGAUUUAUACAUUUGACAUCGACAGCCUUUGGAAAUAAGUUAUUCUAUGUUUACUAGGGAUGGAGUAUAGAGUUUUACAAAAAAAAAUUCCAAGGCUCUUUUGUUAGGUUUAAGAGUGAACACAAAGGAAUAUAAGAUCUCUGUCCCAGUCAUGUUUCUUAGUAGUUCCAGAAUUAUACGGUCUUUGGCCCUUGCUUGUCUCUGAUUCUGAUGAGGAGGAUAGAGGCUUCAGUACCGAGACAUGUCUGAAAGUGCUAACAAUGGCCAGAGAACUGAAUCUGAGAACCUGGCACCUCCUCCAACGUUCCUUUUGUUUUAGGUCAUGAAAGGAACUCAGAAGCAAUGCCAGGAAGGAGCUCGCACACAGCCAUUGUUUAGGAUGACUUGAGACCUGCACUCUCUGACUUCUGCCAUUCG